GAUUGAAAUUUUGCAUGGAUGAUCAUUGAUAUGUUGAGAUGUCAUGAGAAUUUUUCUGGAUUUUUAUAUGGCAUUUUCAAUUUGAUUGAUAUUUUUCAUCUCUGUUGGUUAAUUGUGCAAGCUUGUAUGACACAUGUUUGUAUAUCUUGUGUGAAAUGCUCAUAUGGUUUUAGAUGAAUGUGAAAUUUGGUAUGAUGGUUGUAGACACAUUGUAGGACAUCACUGUUUUGGUCCCAUUCAUUUCUUAAUUGAUUUCAUUGACUUAUGAAUUUUUGAAGUGAAUGCAUGUGUUGUUGCCUUGAAUUGGCUUGAAUAAUUGUGUCUGUAUUUCUUGAUUUUCAUUGCCCUAGUUCCUUUUGUCCAAUUGAGCUAAAAAUUGA
This 380-nucleotide long non-coding RNA is filed under the name Lathyrus oleraceus (garden pea). Its description in RNAcentral is "Pisum sativum (pea) long non-coding RNA (PSAT_LNC028897)". Lineage: Eukaryota; Viridiplantae; Streptophyta; Magnoliopsida; Fabales; Fabaceae. The record is from RNAcentral.